RNAcentral lists this long non-coding RNA (996 nucleotides) under Homo sapiens (human). RNAcentral describes it as "HSALNT0379780". Lineage: Eukaryota; Metazoa; Chordata; Mammalia; Primates; Hominidae. The record is from RNAcentral.
GUAACACUCUGGGAGGGCUCAGGCCACAUCACGAAAUGUGACAGGAUAGCCUUGAACUCAUCAAUUGCUGGGGGCACCUCAAACUCAACUCCAAAAUUGAUCUAAUGAACUUUCCCAAACCACAUUCCCUUCUUGCAUUUCUGAGAGAAUGGAUUCCCAUUCAUCUGACUACAGUGCUACCCUGAAAGCAGAUCCAGAGACUAAGAUUCACCUGCAGGUGAUUCAUUUGCAAGGUAAGCUGUCAUCAGUUGGAGGUAAGCGGAAGACAGUAGAGAGUACAGAGCCCUGGACUGUGACUCAGAGGAUGAGCACCAGAUCCAGUUUGCUGUGCCACAGUGUCCUGAAGAUUUUCCUCAGAUAAUCUUUCAUCUCUUUGUUCCUGAGACUAUAUAUUAGAGGAUUACAGAGUGGUGUUAUCACAGAAAAGAACAAGUGGAUUUUUAUCUGAGAUCUACAACUUAUGAAGAAUACAAAUGAUGUAUAUUCUUUUCUACUCUUCAUGUAUGGACUAGAGGGGCUUGCACAGUAGUAAGAAAAAAAUGGCUGAGACCCACAGGAACAAAGAAACAGGACAGGAGUUAGAUGCAGAGAAGAGAUUUCAACAAAAGUUUGGAAAAGAUGCUAACGGUAGCAUAUGAGUCACAGACAGAACAUUGGCACCUUUGUUUAAGAAACUGAAUGUUAAUGUCACAUCUGCCUUUGGAGAUUACAAAUGAAAUGGCUACCUUUCUACUGGAACCCUGACCAGAAGUCUGCCAGUUAGUAAGCUGGCUUAAGAGAUCAAUCUAAAAUUUACAUAAGGCUUUUGAAAAAAAGAAAAAAGAACCCAAAGGCACAGAUUGACGUUAUAAGUCCUGAUUUUUGACUUGACUUCUCAUCACCUGGAAGUGAAUAAAGCAGUAGACUUCUCUAACAUUUUGUAACACAGCAUGAAAAAAUAUAGAGUACAAAAGAUAUAUAUAUAUAAUAUGAUAAAAUGAUGAGUUACGUUUCUAA